This 118-nucleotide ribosomal RNA is filed under the name Nannospalax galili (Upper Galilee mountains blind mole rat). The record is from RNAcentral. Lineage: Eukaryota; Metazoa; Chordata; Mammalia; Rodentia; Spalacidae.
AAUUGUGGCCAUACCAUUCUAAGUGUACCUGAUAUCAUCUGAUCUAAGAAGCUAAGAAGGGCUGGGUCUUCUUAGCACUGGAUGGGAGACAAUUCAAAGUGACAGUCUAUGACAAUAU